CGGGUGAGUAAUGUCUGGGAAACUGCCUGAUGGAGGGGGAUAACUGCUGGAAACGGUAGCUAAUACCGCAUAACGUCGCAAGACCAAAGAGGGGGACCUUCGGGCCUCUUGCCAUCGGAUGUGCCCAGAUGGGAUUAGCUAGUAGGUGGGUAACGGCUCACCUAGGCGACGAUCCCUAGCUGGUCUGAGAGGAUGACCAGCCACACUGGAACUGAGACACGGUCCAG
RNAcentral lists this ribosomal RNA (227 nucleotides) under uncultured bacterium. RNAcentral's name for it is "partial 16S ribosomal RNA". It matches the Rfam family "Bacterial small subunit ribosomal RNA", at positions 103 to 334 of the family's 1533-position model. The record is from RNAcentral.